UCGAUUAUGACAUUUGAAUAAAUUACGUUUGGCGUGUCGUAAUCGGAUCAGAAAUAGACUUUCGUGCUAGCUAAAUUAGCCUCGAGUGGAAAACUGAUCAACAACAUCUGGAAUAAAAUACGCAGCACACUGCGAAUGGACGUUAGACAUGUUUUUGCCAUACUGCACCUUUAAAUGUACCUGGCUAGCUAGCACUACUCGCUAAAUAGUCUGUAAAAGGGAUAACACGCGGUACGGUACGACAGCAUGCGGUUUCAGGCGAUCACAUGUCCUUCCCCACAGAGUCACUCAGCACGGUCACAUGACUCAGCGAAGGAAGCUGGAUCUUACGGGACGUGUAUUUCAAAACAGCAGAUUCCUCAUCUGUAAAAGCCAAGUGGGUGGAGCCUAAUGAAGGAAGGGACUCAUGAUUCCCCACGUCGUUGUUUUUCACAUGGUUUUGAUGUUCGGCUGAAACCAGAGGCUCUCGAUCAUCAUCUUCUGAAAUGGCGAACACGGGAAUGGUGACGUGAUCAUCAUCAUCAGCAGAGAACUUGCAGAUUUUAACCUCCGCUCCUUGCUCCGGGACACAGAGGGCGCCAUCGGGCUCGCAGAUCUGCUGAGACGUGUGUGAUCGUGACGUGUAGCGGCGCUGAUGCUGAGCCGAGGGAACCUUCACGCCAUCAUCGCCGUCCACCACAGAACCUGGAGAAACCUGAGGAACCAAAUGCAUCACUAAACAUCUGUAGAUGAUUAUAUUCACAGGGAAACGCGUCCGAAUGAAUCAGGAGGAACUUCAUCACGCAGCAAGACAACGAUCCAAAAUACACUUCCACCUCAACACAGGACUUCAUCAGGGGGAAAGUGGAAGGUUUUAAACUGGACACGUCCAUCACCAGACCUUCACCCAACUGAUCAGCACCUCACCUCCUGAAGAGGAGACUGAAGGGAGAAACCCCCCGAAACACACAACUACUGACAGAAGCUGCAGGAGAAACCUGGAGAAGCUUCACAGGAGAAGAAAGCAGCAGUGUGGUGUCAGUGAGUCGCAGGAGUGAUGCAGUUACUGCACGCAAGGGAUAUAACCCAAAUAUUAAUAUUAUAUUUAUAAAUAUUAUUUAUUUACUGCACGC
Long non-coding RNA from Ictalurus punctatus (channel catfish), 1112 nucleotides. NCBI's taxonomy places the organism in Eukaryota, Metazoa, Chordata, Actinopteri, Siluriformes, Ictaluridae. The record is from Ensembl.